Molecule: non-coding RNA, 73 nt
Organism: Eublepharis macularius
Lineage: Eukaryota; Metazoa; Chordata; Lepidosauria; Squamata; Eublepharidae
Source: the annotation of a RefSeq genome assembly
GUCCCUGUAGCUUAAUUUUAUUAAAGCUCGGCCUUGAAGUUGCCGCGAUGGAUUUUUUCUUUUCCCAGGCACA